RNAcentral lists this transfer RNA (73 nucleotides) under Ixodes scapularis (black-legged tick). RNAcentral describes it as "tRNA-Ser". Lineage: Eukaryota; Metazoa; Arthropoda; Arachnida; Ixodida; Ixodidae. The record is from RNAcentral.
UCCCUGUUAGCUCAGUUGGCAGAGCGCUCCAUUGGAAGAGGAGAGGUCCCUUGUUCGAUAACAGGACCAGGAG